Molecule: microRNA, 22 nt
Filed under: Heligmosomoides polygyrus
Lineage: Eukaryota; Metazoa; Nematoda; Chromadorea; Rhabditida; Heligmosomidae
Description: hpo-miR-5902-5p
Source: miRBase by way of RNAcentral
UCUGGGAUGACACUACCCUUCA